RNAcentral lists this ribosomal RNA (497 nucleotides) under uncultured bacterium. Its description in RNAcentral is "partial 16S ribosomal RNA". It matches the Rfam family "Bacterial small subunit ribosomal RNA", at positions 28 to 507 of the family's 1533-position model. The record is from RNAcentral.
GAUGAACGCUGGCGGCGUGCCUAAUACAUGCAAGUCGAGCGAACAGACGAGGAGCUUGCUCCUCUGACGUUAGCGGCGGACGGGUGAGUAACACGUGGAUAACCUACUUAUAAGACUGGGAUAACUUCGGGAAACCGGAGCUAAUACCGGAUAAUAUAUUCAACCGCAUGGUUCAAUAGUGAAUGACGGUUUUGCUGUCACUUAUAGAUGGUUCCGCGCCGCAUUAGCUAGUUGGUAAGGUAACGGCUUACCAAGGCAACGAUGCGUAGCCGACCUGAGAGGGUGAUCGGCCACACUGGAACUGAGACACGGUCCAGACUCCUACGGGAGGCAGCAGUGGGGAAUCUUGCGCAAUGGGCGAAAGCCUGACGGAGCAACGCCGCGUGAGUGAUGAAGGUCUUCGGAUCGUAAAGCUCUGUUAUUAGGGAAGAAAAAAUGUGUAAGUAACUAUGCACGUCUUGACGGUACCUAAUCAGAAAGCCACGGCUAACUACGUG